GACGAACGCUGGCGGCGUGCCUAAUACAUGCAAGUUGAGCGAUGAAGAUUGGUGCUUGCACCAAUUUGAAGAGCAGCGAACGGGUGAGUAACGCGUGGGGAAUCUGCCUUUGAGCGGGGGACAACAUUUGGAAACGAAUGCUAAUACCGCAUAACAACUUUAAACAUAAGUUUUAAGUUUGAAAGAUGCAAUUGCAUCACUCAAAGAUGAUCCCGCGUUGUAUUAGCUAGUUGGUGAGGUAAAGGCUCACCAAGGCGAUGAUACAUAGCCGACCUGAGAGGGUGAUCCGCCACAUUGGGACUGAGACACGGCCCAAACUCCUACGGGAGGCAGCAGUAGGGAAUCUUCGGCAAUGGACGAAAGUCUGACCGAGCAACGCCGCGGGAGUGAAGAAGGUUUUCGGAUCGUAAAACUCUGUUGGUAGAGAAGAACGUUGGUGAGAGUGGAAAGCUCAUCAAGUGACGGUAACUACCCAGAAAGGGACGGCUAACUACGUG
This 497-nucleotide ribosomal RNA is filed under the name uncultured bacterium. Its description in RNAcentral is "partial 16S ribosomal RNA". It matches the Rfam family "Bacterial small subunit ribosomal RNA", at positions 28 to 507 of the family's 1533-position model. The record is from RNAcentral.